RNAcentral lists this ribosomal RNA (477 nucleotides) under uncultured organism. RNAcentral's name for it is "partial 16S ribosomal RNA". It matches the Rfam family "Bacterial small subunit ribosomal RNA", at positions 332 to 800 of the family's 1533-position model. The record is from RNAcentral.
UACACUCCUGCGGGAGGCAGCAGUGGGGAAUAUUGCCCAAUGGGCGCAAGCCUGAUGCAGCCAUGCCGCGUGUAUGAAGAAGGCCUUCGGGUUGUAAAGUACUUUCAGCGGGGAGGAAGGCAAUACGGUUAAUAACCGUGUUGAUUGACGUUACCCGCAGAAGAAGCACCGGCUAACUCCGUGCCAGCAGCCGCGGUAAUACGGAGGGUGCAAGCGUUAAUCGGAAUUACUGGGCGUAAAGCGCACGCAGGCGGUCUGUCAAGUCGGAUGUGAAAUCCCCGGGCUCAACCUGGGAACUGCAUUCGAAACUGGCAGGCUUGAGUCUUGUAGAGGGGGGUAGAAUUCCAGGUGUAGCGGUGAAAUGCGUAGAGAUCUGGAGGAAUACCGGUGGCGAAGGCGGCCCCCUGGACAAAGACUGACGCUCAGGUGCGAAAGCGUGGGGAGCAAACAGGAUUAGAUACCCCUGUAGUCCCAUGA